RNAcentral lists this ribosomal RNA (425 nucleotides) under uncultured bacterium. RNAcentral describes it as "bacterial SSU rRNA". It matches the Rfam family "Bacterial small subunit ribosomal RNA", at positions 969 to 1394 of the family's 1533-position model. The record is from RNAcentral.
CCUUACCUACUCUUGACAUCCAGAGAAGCCAGCGGAGACGCAGGUGUGCCUUCGGGAGCUCUGAGACAGGUGCUGCAUGGCUGUCGUCAGCUCGUGUUGUGAAAUGUUGGGUUAAGUCCCGCAACGAGCGCAACCCUUAUCCUUGUUUGCCAGCGAGUAAUGUCGGGAACUCCAGGGAGACUGCCGGUGAUAAACCGGAGGAAGGUGGGGACGACGUCAAGUCAUCAUGGCCCUUACGAGUAGGGCUACACACGUGCUACAAUGGCGCAUACAGAGGGCAGCCAACUUGCGAAAGUGAGCGAAUCCCAAAAAGUGCGUCGUAGUCCGGAUUGGAGUCUGCAACUCGACUCCAUGAAGUCGGAAUCGCUAGUAAUCGUAGAUCAGAAUGCUACGGGAAUACGUGCCCGGGUCUGUAUCACACCGAA